CCACCACCAAAGCAUUUGCUGUACCGCGUUGACGGAGCGAAGCGACGUCAAACCGAUAAAACAGCAGUGUAAAGUGAGCCGCAGGGCGCUUUGCGCGACAGCGCAAAGGCAGGCGGUUUCGCGUAGCGAAAGCGAAUGCUUUGGGUGGGGUGACUGCGUACCUUUUGUAUAAUGGGUCAGCGACUUAUAUUCUGUAGCAAGGUUAACCGAAUAGGGGAGCCGGAGGGAAACCGAGUCUUAAUUGGGCGUUAAGUUGCAGGGUAUAGACCCGAAACCCGGUGAUCUAGCCAUGGGCAGGUUGAAGG
This 305-nucleotide ribosomal RNA is filed under the name Salmonella enterica subsp. enterica. RNAcentral's name for it is "partial 23S ribosomal RNA". The stretch from base 105 to 305 matches the Rfam family "Bacterial large subunit ribosomal RNA", at positions 569 to 751 of the family's 2925-position model. Lineage: Bacteria; Pseudomonadati; Pseudomonadota; Gammaproteobacteria; Enterobacterales; Enterobacteriaceae. The record is from RNAcentral.